This 324-nucleotide unclassified non-coding RNA is filed under the name Hevea brasiliensis (rubber tree). Lineage: Eukaryota; Viridiplantae; Streptophyta; Magnoliopsida; Malpighiales; Euphorbiaceae. The record is from RNAcentral.
GGAGAAGUAAGCUUAGAUAGGUGGAAUUUAGGGGGCCAAGGGAAGAUCUUUGGUCUCAAGUUAUCAUCAUUAUUAACAUUCCAAGAUCCAAUAAACAACUUAUGCUAUAACCUUUUUCUACUCCUUAACCCUUAUCUUCCCCUUCAAUUUGGUAGGUUGGGGCAAGAUAUUGCAGAAAUUAACUUUUCAACAGCUAGUUAAGCAGCUGAUCUUGAGGGGAACUUCAUAUGCGCAGAACUUGAUGAUUAGCUCAACUGACUGAGCAACUUCGAUUGAAACAUAUGUCGAGAGAUUUCGUUCAAUCUUCAGUUUGGUUGUUUUCGG